GGGGCCGUAGCUCAGCUGGCUAGAGCGCUGGCUUUGCAAGCCAGAGGUCACGGGUUCGACCCCCGUCGGCUCCA
RNAcentral lists this transfer RNA (74 nucleotides) under Chlorobiota bacterium. RNAcentral describes it as "tRNA-Ala". It matches the Rfam family "tRNA". Rfam says of the family: Transfer RNA (tRNA) molecules are approximately 80 nucleotides in length. Their secondary structure includes four short double-helical elements and three loops (D, anti-codon, and T loops). Further hydrogen bonds mediate the characteristic L-shaped molecular structure. tRNAs have two regions of fundamental functional importance: the anti-codon, which is responsible for specific mRNA codon recognition, and the 3' end, to which the tRNAs corresponding amino acid is attached (by aminoacyl-tRNA synthetases). tRNAs cope with the degeneracy of the genetic code in two manners: having more than one tRNA (with a specific anti-codon) for a particular amino acid; and 'wobble' base-pairing, i.e. permitting non-standard base-pairing at the 3rd anti-codon position. The record is from RNAcentral. Lineage: Bacteria; Pseudomonadati; Chlorobiota.